This 275-nucleotide long non-coding RNA is filed under the name Elaeis guineensis (African oil palm). RNAcentral's name for it is "long non-coding RNA (EGUI_LNC003627)". The record is from RNAcentral. Lineage: Eukaryota; Viridiplantae; Streptophyta; Magnoliopsida; Arecales; Arecaceae.
CUGUCAUCUCUUUGUUCACCACCACAGCCUCUCUUCUUCUUUCUUUCUUUCUCUUUUCUUCUUCUUCUUCUGUUCUUUUCUUUGGUGUGGCUGCUGCCUUGGUUUUCUUUUUCAUCAGAGUGGGUAAGCUCUAAACCCUCUUGGCCUUAGUUGAUUCAAAAUAAGAGUUAAUUGUUAGAUGGUGGGGUGGCAAGAGAGGUAAAAGGUAGAAAGCUUAAACGUUGGGAUAGAGAAGAAUUUGAAGGGGGGAGAAUAUUAAGAAAAAGGAUGUUAAG